RNAcentral lists this ribosomal RNA (253 nucleotides) under uncultured bacterium. Its description in RNAcentral is "partial 16S ribosomal RNA". It matches the Rfam family "Bacterial small subunit ribosomal RNA", at positions 524 to 776 of the family's 1533-position model. The record is from RNAcentral.
UACGUAGGGUGCGAGCGUUACUCGGAAUUGCUGGGCGUAAAGCGUGCGCAGGCGGUUCGCCAAGUCAGGUGUGAAAUCCCCGGGCUUAACCUGGGAAUUGCGCUUGAAACUAGCGGGCUUGAGUGUGGCAGAGGGGGGUGGAAUUCCACGUGUAGCAGUGAAAUGCGUAGAGAUGUGGAGGAACACCGAUGGCGAAGGCAGCCCCCUGGGUCAACACUGACGCUCAUGCACGAAAGCGUGGGGAGCAAACAGG